UACGAAGGGGGCUAGCGUUGUUCGGAGUUACUGGGCGUAAAGGGCGCGUAGGCGGCGCACCAAGUCAGGCGUGAAAGCCCUGGGCUCAACCCGGGAAUUGCGCUUGAGACUGGUGUGCUUGAGUACGGGAGAGGAUAGUGGAAUUCCCAGUGUAGAGGUGAAAUUCGUAGAUAUCGGGAGGAACACCAAUUGCGAAGGCAGCUCGCUGGGACGUCACUGACGCUGAGACGCGAAAGCGUGGGGAGCAAACAGGG
This 254-nucleotide ribosomal RNA is filed under the name uncultured bacterium. RNAcentral's name for it is "partial 16S ribosomal RNA". It matches the Rfam family "Bacterial small subunit ribosomal RNA", at positions 524 to 777 of the family's 1533-position model. The record is from RNAcentral.